Molecule: non-coding RNA, 131 nt
Organism: Desulfosporosinus acidiphilus SJ4
Lineage: Bacteria; Bacillati; Bacillota; Clostridia; Eubacteriales; Desulfitobacteriaceae
Source: Rfam
GUUGUCAAGUAGAAGCCAUCCGCUUCUCACCUUACGGCUAAAGUCGGUAAGGUAUCUUCUGGGCUUGGGCUAAAUAUGUGCUCAUGAUUGUUUAGAAGACGGGUGGUAUACAUCCGUCUUUUUCUAUUGGC